RNAcentral lists this ribosomal RNA (697 nucleotides) under uncultured Lachnospiraceae bacterium. RNAcentral's name for it is "bacterial SSU rRNA". It matches the Rfam family "Bacterial small subunit ribosomal RNA", at positions 49 to 744 of the family's 1533-position model. Lineage: Bacteria; Bacillati; Bacillota; Clostridia; Lachnospirales; Lachnospiraceae. The record is from RNAcentral.
UAACACAUGCAAGUCGAGCGAAGCACUUUACUUAGAUUUCUUCGGGAUGAAGAGUAUUGUGACUGAGCGGCGGACGGGUGAGUAACGCGUGGGUAACCUGCCUCAUACAGGGGGAUAACAGUUAGAAAUGACUGCUAAUACCGCAUAAGACCACAGCACCGCAUGGUGCAGAGGUAAAAACUCCGGUGGUAUGAGAUGGACCCGCGUCUGAUUAGCUGGUUGGUGGGGUAACGGCCUACCAAGGCGACGAUCAGUAGCCGGCCUGAGAGGGCGACCGGCCACAUUGGGACUGAGACACGGCCCAAACUCCUACGGGAGGCAGCAGUGGGGAAUAUUGCACAAUGGGGGAAACCCUGAUGCAGCGACGCCGCGUGAAGGAAGAAGUAUUUCGGUAUGUAAACUUCUAUCAGCAGGGAAGAAAAUGACGGUACCUGACUAAGAAGCCCCGGCUAACUACGUGCCAGCAGCCGCGGUAAUACGUAGGGGGCAAGCGUUAUCCGGAUUUACUGGGUGUAAAGGGAGCGUAGACGGAGAGGCAAGUCUGAUGUGAAAACCCGGGGCUCAACCCCGGGACUGCAUUGGAAACUGUUUUUCUAGAGUGUCGGAGAGGUAAGCGGAAUUCCUAGUGUAGCGGUGAAAUGCGUAGAUAUUAGGAGGAACACCAGUGGCGAAGGCGGCUUACUGGACGAUGACUGAC